This 490-nucleotide ribosomal RNA is filed under the name uncultured bacterium. RNAcentral's name for it is "partial 16S ribosomal RNA". It matches the Rfam family "Bacterial small subunit ribosomal RNA", at positions 30 to 507 of the family's 1533-position model. The record is from RNAcentral.
AUUGAACGCUGGCGGCAUGCUUUACACAUGCAAGUCGAACGGCAGCGGGGUAGUGCUUGCACUACUGCCGGCGAGUGGCGAACGGGUGAGUAAUAUAUCGGAACGUACCGAGUAAUGGGGGAUAACCAAUCGAAAGAUUGGCUAAUACCGCAUACGUCCUGAGGGAGAAGGCGGGGGAUCGCAAGACCUCGCGUUAUUCGAGCGGCCGAUAACUGAUUAGCUAGUUGGUGGGGUAAAGGCCUACCAAGGCGACGAUCAGUAGCGGGUCUGAGAGGACGAUCCGCCACACUGGGACUGAGACACGGCCCAGACUCCUACGGGAGGCAGCAGUGGGGAAUUUUGGACAAUGGGGGCAACCCUGAUCCAGCCAUGCCGCGUGUAUGAAGAAGGCCUUCGGGUUGUAAAGUACUUUUGUUAGGGAAGAAAAGGGAAGUGCUAAUACCACUUUUUGCUGACGGUACCUAAAGAAUAAGCACCGGCUAACUACGUG